UGCAACCUGCCUUUAUCAGGGGAAUAGCCUUUCGAAAGGAAGAUUAAUGCCCCAUAAUAUAUCAUAUGGCAUCAUUUGAUAUUGAAAACUCCGGUGGAUAAAGAUGGGCACGCGCAGGAUUAGAUAGUUGGUAGGGUAACGGCCUACCAAGUCAACGAUCCUUAGGGGGCCUGAGAGGGUGAUCCCCCACACUGGUACUGAGACACGGACCAGACUCCUACGGGAGGCAGCAGUGAGGAAUAUUGGACAAUGGGUGAGAGCCUGAUCCAGCCAUCCCGCGUGAAGGACGACGGCCCUAUGGGUUGUAAACUUCUUUUGUAUAGGGAUAAACCUACCCUCGUGAGGGUAGCUGAAGGUACUAUACGAAUAAGCACCGGCUAACUCCGUGCCAGCAGCCGCGGUAAUACGGAGGGUGCAAGCGUUAUCCGGAUUUAUUGGGUUUAAAGGGUCCGUAGGCUGA
RNAcentral lists this ribosomal RNA (460 nucleotides) under Chryseobacterium oranimense. RNAcentral's name for it is "bacterial SSU rRNA". It matches the Rfam family "Bacterial small subunit ribosomal RNA", at positions 120 to 579 of the family's 1533-position model. The record is from RNAcentral. Lineage: Bacteria; Pseudomonadati; Bacteroidota; Flavobacteriia; Flavobacteriales; Weeksellaceae.